Molecule: long non-coding RNA, 241 nt
Filed under: Homo sapiens (human)
Lineage: Eukaryota; Metazoa; Chordata; Mammalia; Primates; Hominidae
Description: non-protein coding lnc-EEF1AKMT2-1:1
Source: RNAcentral
UGUUUGUUUUUUGAGAUGGAGUCUUUUUCUGUCACCCAGGCUGGAGUGCAGUGGUGCGAUCUUGGCUCACUGCAACCUCUGCCUCUCAGGUUCAAGCGAUUCUCCUGCCUCAUACUCCUGAGUAGCUGGGAUUACAGGUGUCUGCCACCAUGCCUGGCUAAUUUUUGUAUUUUUAAUAGAGAUGAGGUUUCACCAUGUUGGCCAGGCUAGUCUCAAACUCCUGACCUCAAGUGAUCCGCCC